CCUACGGGUGGCAGCAGUCGAGAAUCAUUCACAAUGGGGGAAACCCUGAUGCUGCGACGCCGCGUGGGGGAAUGAAGCUCUUCGGAUGUUAAACCCCUGUCAUGUGGGAGCACAGUAAAAAGUUCGUACUACAUGAGGAAGAGCUGGCUACCUACGUGCCAUCAGCCGCGGUAAUACAGAGGUCUCAUGCGGUGUUCGGAAUCACUGGGCGUAAAGGGUGCGUAGGCUGGUUGGUAAGUCGUGUGUGAACGGGGCGGGCUCAACCCGCGGACGGCAUAUGAUACUGCUGGACUAGAGUAAAGGAGAGGGAAGCGGAAUUCUCGGUGUAGCAGUGAAAUGCGUAGAUAUCGGGAGGAACACUCGUGGCGAAGGCGGGUUCCUGGACAUUAACUGACGGUGAGGCACGAAGGCCAGGGGAGCGAAAGGGAUUAGAUACCCGAGUAGUC
This 446-nucleotide ribosomal RNA is filed under the name uncultured bacterium. Its description in RNAcentral is "partial 16S ribosomal RNA". It matches the Rfam family "Bacterial small subunit ribosomal RNA", at positions 338 to 795 of the family's 1533-position model. The record is from RNAcentral.